CUACUGGGUACAACAAGAGGUCUGCUCUUAGCAAACCUGAACCAAUAGAUGGUGAUGAAGAGAAAAAUCAGGUUCACGGUUCUGCAUUGGUGUUAGAAUCAUCGAUCUCAUCGGAUAAGAUCCGACAUUGUAUCACUUCUCAGGGCAUUGAUUUGUUGUCGAUGAUGAUGUGGAUAGGUGUCGAGGGAGAAGAUGUGGGAAACAAAGGAGGGGAUUCGGAUCCUGAAAUUUUGAGAUGAAGCUGUGCCAAAACUUCAUCAGCCUGAAAAGGUAAGUGAUGGACUGAUAGUGAUGGUCACUUGAGAGGAUAUUCAUGAGCCCGGCAGCUGUGAGUACUGGAAAUCUUAUCCGCAAAUGGAUGGCGAAUGCUGGUGACUUGAUUUCUUGGGUCGAGUAAAGGGCAGGAAUGCCAGUGCUGAGGCUCUACUAAUUGGUUAUCAUUUGGUAUUGUUCUUUUUCCCUAAUUUCUUACUAAACUUGUACUGUAGUACUAUGAACAACAGGCGCAACGGUUCCAUUCCCCUUUUUCUAUUUGGUCUAACGGGAUACUGUGAUAUCUGUACUGAAGAUUUUGAGUAUCAAUGGAAAGUUGAGAGAACUAAAGCGGCCUGUUGAGUGGUGUGACAAUGCAAGAUGGGCUUAAACUGAACUCGAUAGAAGUUACAGCGGAGCACUUGCAGCAGCUCAGAUAUGACCCGAAGUCAGUUUGGGGUUAUGUUGAGAUUCACAUUGAACAAGGUCAUGUACUAGAAGUGGUUGAUAUUCCUCUAGGAGUUGUUAAGAGGCAUAGCUGGACAGACGAGACCAAAAGGUAUCAAAACUGUCUCAGCUUUUCAUCGGUGCAUGUCUGAAUUCCUUUUCAUUUAUUCAUACAAACAAAAAAAAUGUCCAUAGUUUGCAGUCAGACUACGCAACUAAACAUGUAUGUCUGGAACUCAUUCAAAAAGGGUCCAAAACUUUUAGGUCUGAAGUAUGCGAAAUCUUAUCUUUAUGAGAAACUACACAUUUUUCAUGAGCUCCUCAUAGGGGAAAAUUUCUGUAUAAUGAAUCAUGAAGUUGAAUACGAAGCUUCUUUGUAUGUUAUAACAGAAUGUUUUUUAUCAUACAGAAGUUGAAGUGUAAAGCAGUAAACUAAAAUGAAUUAUAUUAACUUUAUUUUGGCUGAGCGAUCCAAUAUACAUGAAAGUUUUAGAUUACAAUAAGAGGUUCCCAGGGGCUUGCUGGAACAAUUCCAAUGUCCCUGUGUGGUGACCCUAUGGCUGCUGCGCGGAAUCAAUUUAUUUUUGGAAAGCAUCUUGAGAUAUCCUCUUCGCCAAGUGCAAAUAAGCCGAAGUCUGCAGCUUAUAAUGGCCACAAGAGUGACAGGUUCUGUUCAUGGUGAAGUACCUGUAUUGAAGAGUGGGGCAGGACAUGAUGCAAUGGCUCUCUCUCCUUCAACCAAGGUUUGUUAUCUUGAAUUUGCACGAUGAAUCAAUGAACUCUAUGUUACUGUGUGUAUAAUUCUGGUGUCUGAAA
Molecule: long non-coding RNA, 1515 nt
Organism: Argentina anserina (silverweed cinquefoil)
Lineage: Eukaryota; Viridiplantae; Streptophyta; Magnoliopsida; Rosales; Rosaceae
Exons: 7
Source: RefSeq, a predicted model, not a curated record